UACGGGGGGGGCAAGCGUUGUUCGGAAUUACUGGGCGUAAAGGGCGCGUAGGCGGCCUUCUAAGUCGGACGUGAAAUCCCUCGGCUUAACCGAGGAACUGCGUCCGAUACUGAAAGGCUUGAAUCCGGGAGAGGGAUGUGGAAUUCCAGGUGUAGCGGUGAAAUGCGUAGAUAUCUGGAGGAACACCAAUGGCGAAGGCAGCACUCUGGGACGUGACUGACGCUGAGACGCGAAAGCGUGGGGAGCAAACAGG
RNAcentral lists this ribosomal RNA (253 nucleotides) under uncultured bacterium. RNAcentral's name for it is "partial 16S ribosomal RNA". It matches the Rfam family "Bacterial small subunit ribosomal RNA", at positions 524 to 776 of the family's 1533-position model. The record is from RNAcentral.